RNAcentral lists this ribosomal RNA (253 nucleotides) under uncultured bacterium. RNAcentral describes it as "partial 16S ribosomal RNA". It matches the Rfam family "Bacterial small subunit ribosomal RNA", at positions 524 to 776 of the family's 1533-position model. The record is from RNAcentral.
UACAGAGGGUGCAAGCGCUGUUCGGAAUUAUUGGGCGUAAAGCGCGUGUAGGCGGCUUUGCAAGUCGGGUGUGAAAGCCCUCAGCUCAACUGAGGAAGUGCGCCCGAAACUGCAGAGCUUGAGUACCGGAGAGGGUGGCGGAAUUCCCCAAGUAGAGGUGAAAUUCGUAGAUAUGGGGAGGAACACCGGUGGCGAAGGCGGCCACCUGGACGGAUACUGACGCUGAGACGCGAAAGCGUGGGUAGCAAACAGG